AUGAAACAGUUAAACUCAAGGCUCCGCUGUGUGACCCAACCCAUGCUGUCGGCACAGGCUGUCCUUUUUCCUGGUGAAAAUGAUCCCGGGGGUGCUGUGCGCGUAGCACACAUCACUGCAUCAUGCUUUGUGGGCUCACAUGUCACAUCAAACUGUCGAUCCUACAACUUAAGCGGAGGGACGAGGCCUCAUUUGGGAGUUAGGACAGCGAGGGGGAGAGUUCAUACACUUUUCCAGUAUUACAGUGAUGCCUGGAUUCUUUGCUUUUCUCAUUUCUGUGCUAAAAGCUUCCAAAGAGAUCAUCAUCUCCGCGGAAUAGAAUUCCUUUGCCUAAGGCCUAACUCAGAGGGAUACUUAUCUACAAAAAAUGCCAACCAGGAGGGGUGGCGUGAGCUGGGUCUUGGUCCACAUCCUGCCCGUCCACCGUGUUUAUCCUUGGUCACCAUGUGCAAUCCGUAUUUCCUUCUCCAUCCACCUCGAUUUCUAGCAGCUGCUGAGGACUUGGUUUAUCUGUUAGUGUUGCGUUUUGCUGUGAAUAACAGAAACCCUGACGAGACAUGA
This 561-nucleotide long non-coding RNA is filed under the name Canis lupus familiaris (dog). RNAcentral's name for it is "lncRNA (ENSCAFG00040008619.1)". The record is from RNAcentral. Lineage: Eukaryota; Metazoa; Chordata; Mammalia; Carnivora; Canidae.